This 261-nucleotide ribosomal RNA is filed under the name Vibrio cholerae. Its description in RNAcentral is "partial 16S ribosomal RNA". It matches the Rfam family "Bacterial small subunit ribosomal RNA", at positions 1 to 255 of the family's 1533-position model. Lineage: Bacteria; Pseudomonadati; Pseudomonadota; Gammaproteobacteria; Vibrionales; Vibrionaceae. The record is from RNAcentral.
UUUAAUUGAAGAGUUUGAUCAUGGCUCAGAUUGAACGCUGGCGGCAGGCCUAACACAUGCAAGUCGAGCGGCAGCACAGAGGAACUUGUUCCUUGGGUGGCGAGCGGCGGACGGGUGAGUAAUGCCUGGGAAAUUGCCCGGUAGAGGGGGAUAACCGAUUGGAAACGAUGGCUAAUACCGCAUAACCUCGCAAGAGCAAAGCAGGGGACCUUCGGGCCUUGCGCUACCGGAUAUGCCCAGGUGGGAUUAGCUAGUUGGUGA